Small nucleolar RNA from Clarias gariepinus (North African catfish), 133 nucleotides. RefSeq annotates it as small nucleolar RNA SNORA47. Lineage: Eukaryota; Metazoa; Chordata; Actinopteri; Siluriformes; Clariidae. The record is from RefSeq and is a predicted model, not a curated record. The transcript has a single exon.
UGGAGGCUUGAGAAAGUUUGGAUGUUGUUGCAGUACUUCCAUAACUGGUUAUAACCUCCAAGACUAAAUCUUAAUCACUGCAUUUAUGUCUGAUUCUUCAUCUCAGAUUAUGCGCUGUGAUUAAGGACAUUUG